Molecule: transfer RNA, 22 nt
Filed under: Hedysarum neglectum
Lineage: Eukaryota; Viridiplantae; Streptophyta; Magnoliopsida; Fabales; Fabaceae
Description: partial tRNA-His
Source: RNAcentral
GGCGGAUGUAGCCAAAUGGUUC